Molecule: ribosomal RNA, 505 nt
Filed under: uncultured bacterium
Lineage: Bacteria
Description: partial 16S ribosomal RNA
Rfam family: Bacterial small subunit ribosomal RNA
Source: RNAcentral
GACGAACGCUGGCGGCGUGCCUAAUACAUGCAAGUAGAACGCACAGUUUAUACCGUAGCUUGCUACACCAUAGACUGUGAGUUGCGAACGGGUGAGUAACGCGUAGGUAACCUGCCUGGUAGCGGGGGAUAACUAUUGGAAACGAUAGCUAAUACCGCAUAAUAUUAAUUAUUGCAUGAUAAUUAAUUGAAAGGUGCAAUUGCACCACUACCAGAUGGACCUGCGUUGUAUUAGCUAGUAGGUGAGGUAACGGCUCACCUAGGCGACGAUACAUAGCCGACCUGAGAGGGUGAUCGGCCACACUGGGACUGAGACACGGCCCAGACUCCUACGGGAGGCAGCAGUAGGGAAUCUUCGGCAAUGGACGAAAGUCUGACCGAGCAACGCCGCGUGAGUGAAGAGGGUUUUCGGAUCGUAAAGCCCUGUUGUAAGAGAAGAACGGGUGUGAGAGUGGAAAGUUCACACUGUGACGGUAGCUUACCAGAAAGGGACGGCUAACUACGUG